Non-coding RNA from Podarcis lilfordi (Lilford's wall lizard), 72 nucleotides. NCBI's taxonomy places the organism in Eukaryota, Metazoa, Chordata, Lepidosauria, Squamata, Lacertidae. The record is from the annotation of a GenBank genome assembly.
GUUUAUAGCUCAGUGGAUUAGAGUGUGGCGCCGAUAACGCCGAGGUUGCAGGUUUGAUCCCCAUAUGGGACA